RNAcentral lists this transfer RNA (79 nucleotides) under Sphingomonas astaxanthinifaciens DSM 22298. RNAcentral's name for it is "tRNA-Ser". The record is from RNAcentral. Lineage: Bacteria; Pseudomonadati; Pseudomonadota; Alphaproteobacteria; Sphingomonadales; Sphingomonadaceae.
GCUCGGUCGCGAGCCUGGCGGCGAGUUCGGCGGCCUCGAGCGCCGCCUUGCGCGCCUCGAUCGCCUCGGCGACCGCGCU